AGAAUCAACGCUGGCGGCGUGCCUAACACAUGCAAGUCGAACGAGAAAGUGGAGCAAUCCAUGAGUAAAGUGGCGACCGGGUGAGUAACACGUGACUAACCUACCUUCGAGUGGGGGAUAACCUCGGGAAACCGAGGCUAAUACCGCAUAACAUCGCAAGAUCAAAGCAGCAAUGCGCUGGAAGAGGGGGUCGCGGCUGAUUAGCUAGUUGGCGGGGUAAUGGCCCACCAAGGCGAAGAUCGGUAGCCGGCCUGAGAGGGGCGCGACGGACGACGACUGGAACUGAAACACGGUCCGGACUCCUACGGGAGGCAGCAGUGGGGAAUAUUGGACAAUGGGGGAAACCCUGAUCCAGCGACGCCGCGUGUGUGAAGAAGGCCUGCGGGUUGUAAAGCACUUUUAGUGGGGACAAAAAAGCUACGGAUUAAUACUCUGUGGUCUUGAUUUAACCCAAAGAAAAGCACCGGCUAACUCUGUGCCAGCAGCCGCGGU
Molecule: ribosomal RNA, 492 nt
Filed under: uncultured bacterium
Lineage: Bacteria
Description: SSU rRNA
Rfam family: Bacterial small subunit ribosomal RNA
Source: RNAcentral